GAAAGAAUUAACACCAUUUUUCACGGUAGAAAGGUAGGUAAACAGCUAAAUCAAACGAAAAAGAUUGUAAAGGCGCGUCGCGUGGCGCGAACUAAUUUUUAGUGAAUUAGUUAGAAUGUUAUAGGUUUAUUCAAUUAUUCUUCCCAAGAAAAGCAACAAUUACGAUUCAAUAGAUUUUAAUUCUCAAGUGGAAUUAAAACAGAUUAAAUAAAGUUAGAUGAUUUAGAUCAGCUUUUCAUAAACCAAUUUCCACGUUUAACAAUUGGAUGGAUAGGUAUGGAAAUUUACCGCAAUAUCCGCAUGGCCUACACUCCCAUAGUGCACGUGUGCCUACUCACCCUUCCAUUAUGGAACAUUUUGAUUUAAGGGCUAUUCAAGUUUCCUAGUAUCACAAUAUCAAGACCGAAACGCUCUGUUGGGUCCCAUGAGGAAAAUCCGGCGUUAGUAAAAGUCUUAUUACUCCCCCAAGAAUAUACGUAAAUGGGUUCUCAUACAUUAAGUCUAGCGAGUCUAGACGCUCUUUUUUUUCGAAUUUCGUGAGAUGAGUUUUUAAAAGCCAGACAGUAAAUUUUCAUCUACACUCUGUAACCCGCCUGUGUAUAUAUGUUUAGGUAUAAGAAAGAGAUAAGAUGUGGGAUGCGGAAUGGAAAAAACGAUGAUAAGAUUGUUACCUCAAAUAAUCACGAGUUGGUUUUAUUUCCUUCGUGCCAUACAGUCGCAUACAGUAUGCCAACUGAUCACCCCGCUCACAGUUCCCACUGACACCGCGCUUAGAAGGCGACUGUUAUUCAAUGGCCCAGAGCCGAAACGCAAGCGGUAAUGAGCAAACUGGGCCGGCCAGCGAUGGAAAUGCUCCAUUAACUCGAAAAGUGAUUCCACAUUUCGUAUCGUGGGUGGCUUUUGUCGCUUGUCUAUUCUACGUCUACUAUUACGAAAUAGUGUAGCAAUGGCAUUGUCUGCUGACCAUCUAGUAUCGUCGAAAAUAAAAGAAUUCAAUUUAGCUAGAAAUGAAAAUGACUAUUUCGGCCCUCAUAUUGUCGUCAGCAAUAAAAUAAAGACAGUAAAAUGAA
Long non-coding RNA from Daphnia pulicaria, 1070 nucleotides. RefSeq lists it as uncharacterized. Lineage: Eukaryota; Metazoa; Arthropoda; Branchiopoda; Diplostraca; Daphniidae. The transcript is spliced from 2 exons. The record is from RefSeq and is a predicted model, not a curated record.